This 494-nucleotide ribosomal RNA is filed under the name uncultured bacterium. RNAcentral describes it as "bacterial SSU rRNA". It matches the Rfam family "Bacterial small subunit ribosomal RNA", at positions 903 to 1397 of the family's 1533-position model. The record is from RNAcentral.
AAAUGAAUAGACGGGGGCCCGCACAAGCGGCGGAGCAUGUGGAUUAAUUCGAUGCAACGCGAAGAACCUUACCUGGGCUUGACAUGGACCGGAUCGGCGUAGAGAUACGUUUUCCCUUGUGGUCGGUUCACAGGUGGUGCAUGGUUGUCGUCAGCUCGUGUCGUGAGAUGUUGGGUUAAGUCCCGCAACGAGCGCAACCCUUGUCUUAUGUUGCCAGCACAUUGUGGUGGGUACUCAUGAGAGACUGCCGGGGUUAACUCGGAGGAAGGUGGGGAUGACGUCAAAUCAUCAUGCCCCUUAUGUCCAGGGCUUCACACAUGCUACAAUGGUCGGUACAGCGAGUUGCCACACCGUAAGGUGGAGCUAAUCUCUUAAAGCCGGCCUCAGUUCGGAUUGGGGUCUGCAACUCGACCCCAUGAAGUCGGAGUCGCUAGUAAUCGCAGAUCAGCAACGCUGCGGUGAAUACGUUCCCGGGCCUUGCACACACCGCCCGU